Molecule: ribosomal RNA, 308 nt
Filed under: Candidatus Nitrosopumilus sp.
Lineage: Archaea; Thermoproteati; Nitrososphaerota; Nitrososphaeria; Nitrosopumilales; Nitrosopumilaceae
Description: bacterial SSU rRNA
Rfam family: Archaeal small subunit ribosomal RNA
Source: RNAcentral
AAUCCGGUUGAUCCUGCCGGACCUGACUGCUAUCGGAUUGAUACUAAGCCAUGCGAGUCAUUGUAGCAAUACAAGGCAGACGGCUCAGUAACGCGUAGUCAACCUAACCUAUGGACGGGAAUAACCUCGGGAAACUGAGAAUAAUGCCCGAUAGAACACUAUAUCUGGAAUGGUUUGUGUUCCAAAUGAUUUAUCGCCGUAGGAUGGGACUGCGGCCUAUCAGUUUGUUGGUGAGGUAAUGGCCCACCAAGACUAUUACAGGUACGGGCUCUGAGAGGAGUAGCCCGGAGAUGGGUACUGAGACACGG